UUAAGUUAUUAAGGGCGCACGGUGGAUGCCUUGGCACUAGAAGCCGAUGAAGGACGUUACUAACGACGAUAUGCUUUGGGGAGCUGUAAGUAAGCUUUGAUCCAGAGAUUUCCGAAUGGGGAAACCCAGCAUGAGUUAUGUCAUGUUAUCGAUAUGUGAAUACAUAGCAUAUCAGAAGGCACACCCGGAGAACUGAAACAUCUUAGUACCCGGAGGAAGAGAAAGAAAAUUCGAUUCCCUUAGUAGCGGCGAGCGAAACGGGAAGAGCCCAAACCAACAAGCUUGCUUGUUGGGGUUGUAGGACACUCUAUACGGAGUUACAAAGGACGACAUUAGACGAAUCAUCUGGAAAGAUGAAUCAAAGAAGGUAAUAAUCCUGUAGUCGAAAAUGUUNNNNNNNNNNNNNNNNNNNNNNNNUCUCUCUUGAGUGGAUCCUGAGUACGACGGAGCACGUGAAAUUCCGUCGGAAUCUGGGAGGACCAUCUCCUAAGGCUAAAUACUCUCUAGUGACCGAUAGUGAACCAGUACCGUGAGGGAAAGGUGAAAAGCACCCCGGAAGGGGAGUGAAAUAGAACCUGAAACCGUGUGCUUACAAGUAGUCAGAGCCCGUUAAUGGGUGAUGGCGUGCCUUUUGUAGAAUGAACCGGCGAGUUACGAUUUGAUGCAAGGUUAAGCAGUAAAUGUGGAGCCGUAGCGAAAGCGAGUCUGAAUAGGGCGUUUAGUAUUUGGUCGUAGACCCGAAACCAGGUGAUCUACCCUUGGUCAGGUUGAAGUUCAGGUAACACUGAAUGGAGGACCGAACCGACUUACGUUGAAAAGUGAGCGGAUGAACUGAGGGUAGCGGAGAAAUUCCAAUCGAACCUGGAGAUAGCUGGUUCUCUCCGAAAUAGCUUUAGGGCUAGCCUCAAGUGAUGAUUAUUGGAGGUAGAGCACUGUUUGGACGAGGGGCCCCUCUCGGGUUACCGAAUUCAGACAAACUCCGAAUGCCAAUUAAUUUAACUUGGGAGUCAGAACAUGGGUGAUAAGGUCCGUGUUCGAAAGGGAAACAGCCCAGACCACCAGCUAAGGUCCCAAAAUAUAUGUUAAGUGGAAAAGGAUGUGGCGUUGCCCAGACAACUAGGAUGUUGGCUUAGAAGCAGCCAUCAUUUAAAGAGUGCGUAAUAGCUCACUAGUCGAGUGACACUGCGCCGAAAAUGUACCGGGGCUAAACAUAUUACCGAAGCUGUGGAUUGUCCUUUGGACAAUGGUAGGAGAGCGUUCUAAGGGCGUUGAAGCAUGAUCGUAAGGACAUGUGGAGCGCUUAGAAGUGAGAAUGCCGGUGUGAGUAGCGAAAGACGGGUGAGAAUCCCGUCCACCGAUUGACUAAGGUUUCCAGAGGAAGGCUCGUCCGCUCUGGGUUAGUCGGGUCCUAAGCUGAGGCCGACAGGCGUAGGCGAUGGAUAACAGGUUGAUAUUCCUGUACCACCUAUAAUCGUUUUAAUCGAUGGGGGGACGCAGUAGGAUAGGCGAAGCGUGCGAUUGGAUUGCACGUCUAAGCAGUAAGGCUGAGUAUUAGGCAAAUCCGGUACUCGUUAAGGCUGAGCUGUGAUGGGGAGAAGACAUUGNGUCUUCGAGUCGUUGAUUUCACACUGCCGAGAAAAGCCUCUAGAUAGAAAAUAGGUGCCCGUACCGCAAACCGACACAGGUAGUCAAGAUGAGAAUUCUAAGGUGAGCGAGCGAACUCUCGUUAAGGAACUCGGCAAAAUGACCCCGUAACUUCGGGAGAAGGGGUGCUCUUUAGGGUUAACGCCCAGAAGAGCCGCAGUGAAUAGGCCCAAGCGACUGUUUAUCAAAAACACAGGUCUCUGCUAAACCGUAAGGUGAUGUAUAGGGGCUGACGCCUGCCCGGUGCUGGAAGGUUAAGAGGAGUGGUUAGCUUCUGCGAAGCUACGAAUCGAAGCCCCAGUAAACGGCGGCCGUAACUAUAACGGUCCUAAGGUAGCGAAAUUCCUUGUCGGGUAAGUUCCGACCCGCACGAAAGGCGUAACGAUUUGGGCACUGUCUCAACGAGAGACUCGGUGAAAUCAUAGUACCUGUGAAGAUGCAGGUUACCCGCGACAGGACGGAAAGACCCCGUGGAGCUUUACUGUAGCCUGAUAUUGAAAUUCGGCACAGCUUGUACAGGAUAGGUAGGAGCCUUUGAAACGUGAGCGCUAGCUUACGUGGAGGCGCUGGUGGGAUACUACCCUAGCUGUGUUGGCUUUCUAACCCGCACCACUUAUCGUGGUGGGAGACAGUGUCAGGCGGGCAGUUUGACUGGGGCGGUCGCCUCCUAAAAGGUAACGGAGGCGCUCAAAGGUUCCCUCAGAAUGGUUGGAAAUCAUUCAUAGAGUGUAAAGGCAUAAGGGAGCUUGACUGCGAGACCUACAAGUCGAGCAGGGUCGAAAGACGGACUUAGUGAUCCGGUGGUUCCGCAUGGAAGGGCCAUCGCUCAACGGAUAAAAGCUACCCCGGGGAUAACAGGCUUAUCUCCCCCAAGAGUUCACAUCGACGGGGAGGUUUGGCACCUCGAUGUCGGCUCAUCGCAUCCUGGGGCUGUAGUCGGUCCCAAGGGUUGGGCUGUUCGCCCAUUAAAGCGGUACGCGAGCUGGGUUCAGAACGUCGUGAGACAGUUCGGUCCCUAUCCGUCGUGGGCGUAGGAAAUUUGAGAGGAGCUGUCCUUAGUACGAGAGGACCGGGAUGGACAUACCUCUGGUGUACCAGUUGUCGUGCCAACGGCAUAGCUGGGUAGCUAUGUGUGGACGGGAUAAGUGCUGAAAGCAUCUAAGCAUGAAGCCCCCCUCAAGAUGAGAUUUCCCAACUUCGGUUAUAAGAUCCCUCAAAGAUGAUGAGGUUAAUAGGUUCGAGGUGGAAGCAUGGUGACAUGUGGAGCUGACGAAUACUAAUCGAUCGAAGACUUAAUCAA
RNAcentral lists this ribosomal RNA (2944 nucleotides) under Staphylococcus aureus. RNAcentral describes it as "23S ribosomal RNA". It matches the Rfam family "Bacterial large subunit ribosomal RNA". The record is from RNAcentral. Lineage: Bacteria; Bacillati; Bacillota; Bacilli; Caryophanales; Staphylococcaceae.